Rattus rattus (black rat) is the source of this 104-nucleotide small nuclear RNA. The record is from RefSeq and is a predicted model, not a curated record. NCBI's taxonomy places the organism in Eukaryota, Metazoa, Chordata, Mammalia, Rodentia, Muridae.
GUGCUCACUUGCAGCAGCACAUGUACUAAAGUGGAGCGACAUAGAGAAAAUUAGCAUGGCCCCCUCUUGCAAGGAUGACAUAAAAUUCAUGAAGCGUUCAUUUU